UUCAGACGGAGCGCUGGGGUUGGAUCUCCCAAGCAACACAAUUGGCUCUGUGCAGGACACCUGGCACGGGGCACUGGGUCGCAGCUCGUCCCCUCUCCCUCCAGGAACAACGAUGCUCAAGGACCAGCUUUUCCUCCCAGGCCUCUCCCACUUCCCUUCUCACCGGUGCUGCCCGCCCGGUCCCGGGAACCGCGCCCGUCGCAGGGUCCCGAUCGUUCCCCCCUACAUCCCCUUGGGACCAGGAGCAAAUUCCUGUGGGUCCCAGGAGUGCCAAAAGUGCUCAGCGAGACGGGAAAUUGCAACAGUACUUGGCCCCUCGGCCCUCCCCCGGCGCUUUCCCGUAACUCCCGCCCCUGGACACUUGCCCCGUAGUUGAUUCAUAGCUGGGGCGCGGGGCCGCCUCCACACGCCUGGACAGACGUCCGCGCCCGUUCCCCUGUGAGGCCGAGGACCGGCAAGGCUCCGGAGCAGGUCGCCAGGCGGGUAAUCAGACCAAUGGCUUUCUCUGUGGUCCUUCAUCCAGCCUUCCUCCUGGCAGUGCUGUCCCUGAGGGCAUCCCGAAGCGAAGUCUUGGAGGAGCCUUUACCAUUGACUCCUGAGAUACAUAAAGUUUCUUUUCAAUUGAAACUUCAAGAAGUGAAUUUAGAAUGGACUGUCCCAGCCCUUACUCAUGAAGAAUUAAACAUGAUAUUUCAGAUAGAGAUCAGUAGACUGAACAUAUCCAACACCAUCUGGGUGGAGAAUUAUAGCACCACUGUGAAGCGUGAAGAAGCUGUGCGUUGGAACUGGACGUCUGAUAUCCCUUUGGAGUGUGUCAAACAUUUCAUAAGAAUCAGGGCUCUGGUAGAUGACACCAAGUCCCUUCCACAGAGUUCCUGGGGCAACUGGAGUUCCUGGAAAGAAGUUAAUGCAAAGGUUUCCGUUGAACCUGAUAAAUCAUUAAUAUUUCCUAAAGACAAAGUGUUGGAAGAAGGCUCCAAUGUCACCAUCUGUCUGAUGUAUGGGCAGAAUGUAUAUAAUGUAUCCUGUAAGUUGCAAGAUGAGCCAAUCCAUGGAGAACAACUUGAUUCCCACGUGUCAUUAUUAAAAUUGAACAAUGUAGUUUUCCUUAGUGACACAGGGACAAACAUCAAUUGUCAAGCCACGAAGGGUCCUAAAAGAAUAUUUGGUACUGUUCUCUUUGUCUCGAAAGUGCUCGAGGAACCUAAGAAUGUUUCCUGUGAAACCCGAGACUUUAAGACUUUGGACUGUUCAUGGGAACCUGGGGUAGAUACGACUUUGACUUGGCGUAAACAAAGAUUCCAAAACUACACUUUAUGUGAAUCGUUCUCUAAGAGAUGUGAGGUUUCUAACUACAGGAACUCCUAUACCUGGCAAAUCACUGAAGGCUCACAGGAAAUGUAUAACUUUACUCUCACAGCUGAAAACCAACUAAGGAAAAGAAGUGUCAACAUUAAUUUUAACCUGACCCAUAGAGUUCAUCCAAAGGCUCCGCAGGACGUCACCCUUAAAAUUAUAGGUGCUACAAAAGCCAACAUGACUUGGAAGGUUCACUCCCAUGGAAACAACUACACACUUUUGUGUCAGGUUAAACUCCAAUAUGGAGAAGUGAUUCAUGAGCACAAUGUUUCUGUCCACAUGAGCGCAAACUACCUCUUCAGUGAUCUGGAUCCAGACACAAAGUACAAGGCUUUUGUGCGCUGUGCAAGUGCCAACCACUUCUGGAAAUGGAGCGACUGGACCCAAAAAGAGUUCAGCACACCCGAGACUGCUCCCUCACAGGCUCUUGAUGUAUGGAGACAAGUGUGGUCGGAGAAUGGAAGACGCAUUGUGACUUUAUUCUGGAAGCCACUAUUAAAAUCACAGGCCAAUGGCAAAAUCAUAUCCUAUAAUAUAGUUGUAGAAAAUGAAGCCAAACCAACUGAGUCAGAACACUACUGUGUCUGGGCACCAGCCCUCAGCACAAACCUGAGCCUUGACCUGCAACCUUACAAGAUUCGCAUCACAGCCAACAACAGCAUGGGGGCAUCUCCUGAGUCCUUGAUGGUCCUUUCUAAUGAUUCUGGACACGAAGAGGUCAAGGAAAAGACAAUUAAAGGUAUAAAGGAUGCAUUCAAUAUUUCUUGGGAGCCCGUAUCUGGAGACACGAUGGGCUAUGUUGUGGACUGGUGUGCACAUUCCCAGGACCAACGCUGUGAUUUGCAGUGGAAGAACCUUGGUCCCAAUACCACAAGCACCACCAUCACCUCAGGGAGAUCAAAGAUGCUCAAGCGUGUGGCUUAAGUAGGAAGCGCAGGAGGAAGGACUGAUGUGGGAAUCAUCUAGAUGCAGAAAGUGAUGGAGACUCCUGCAAGAUUGAGGGGCCCGAGAGCACAGAUGAGGGAGCCCGAGCACAAGUGAGGCCUGCUGAGGAUCCUGGCUCCAGAGCACAUGACAGUUUCUAUUGACUGGAGACAGCACUGUGUUCUACGGCAACACGGAAAGUUCUAAGGCCUAGUGGAAGGGGGGAAUACUCGUGGAAAGAGUGGGAAGAUCUUGAGAGAGAAGCUACUAGGGGUUGCUUGCUUACUGUCUGUCCUUUCCUGCUCAGCUCAAAUGAUGUCAUCGUGUCUUCUUAAAAACCUUUGACUUCUCUUCUCUAGAUGAUUUUAAACCAGGCGUCCGUUACAACUUCAGAAUUUUUGAAAGGUCUGUGGAACACAAAGCUCGGUUAGUAGAGAAACAAAGAGGAUACACCCAGGAACUGGCUCCUUUGGUGAAUCCAAAAGUGGAGAUUCCUUACUCGACCCCUAACUCCUUCGUUCUAAGAUGGCCAGAUUAUGACAGCGACUUCCAGGCUGGUUUUAUAAAAGGGUACCUCGUGUAUGUGAAAUCCAAGGAGAUGCAGUGCAACCAACCCUGGGAAAGGACCCUCCUUCCAGAUAAUUCAGUCCUCUGUAAAUACGACAUCAAUGGCUCAGAGACAAAGACACUCACCGUGGAAAACCUUCAGCCAGAGUCCCUCUAUGAGUUUUUCGUCACUCCGUACACCAGCGCUGGCCCAGGACCCAAUGAAACGUUCACAAAGGUCACAACUCCAGAUGCACGCUCCCACAUGCUGCUGCAGAUCAUACUACCCAUGACCCUCUGCGUCUUGCUCAGCAUCAUUGUCUGCUACUGGAAAAGUCAGUGGGUGAAGGAGAAGUGCUACCCUGACAUUCCCAAUCCGUACAAGAGCAGCAUUCUGUCACUCAUAAAAUCCAAGAAGAAUCCUCACUUAAUAAUGAAUGUCAAAGACUGCAUUCCAGAUGUCCUUGAAGUGAUAAACAAAGCAGAAGGCAGCAAGACACAGUGUGUAGGCUCUGGGAAACUUCACAUUGAAGAUGUACCCACUAAGCCGCCAAUCGUGCCAACAGAAAAGGAUUCCUCAGGGCCUGUGCCCUGCAUCUUCUUUGAGAAUUUUACUUACGAUCAGUCAGCUUUUGACUCUGGUUCCCAUGGCCUCAUUCCAGGUCCCCUAAAAGACACAGCACACCAACUUGGACUAUUGGCUCCACCUAACAAGUUCCAGAACGUAUUAAAAAAUGACUACAUGAAGCCCCUGGUCGAAAGUCCAACUGAAGAAACUAGCUUGAUUUAUGUGUCACAGCUGGCUUCACCCAUGUGCGGAGACAAGGACACGCUUGCCACAGAACCACCCGUGCCAGUGCAUGGUUCAGAGUAUAAAAGGCAAAUGGUAGUUCCCGGGAGCCUCGCAUCACCUUCUCUGAAGGAGGAUAACAGCUUGACCUCAACGGUCCUCUUAGGCCAAGGUGAACAGUAAACACCACGCAGCACAAAUAAAUGCACUCCACACACUAUAGGCACUUUGGGAGAUGUAGCUGUUACCAUGCCAACACCACGUGCCCUGGUUGGUUCCAGGGGUGGGGGUUGAGGGGAGACUCAUUAUCUGCAGUGCUGAUUUAUCAACGAUCACUACAGACCAACAGACUUAAGGACCAUAUAAUAUGGUGUUCACCCUGAAGGCGUUCCCUAGAAAUGGCAGAUCCGAGAGCAUGCUGACCUUGCUAUUAUUUGGUCCAGGCUCACCCUUAUUGCAGUAGCUUGACAUAGGGUGUACACCAGUCAUUUCGCAGAGCCUACCUACUCAAAACUACACACCGAGGCUGUGGUCCUAGGAUUUUGAUUUGCAGCGAGAAAGCAUCUUCUUGUAAACUUAACCUCACACUUAAAAGUUUAAGGGUAAAACAAGUGGGUCAGAAGUUUUGAUUAGCACCGCAAGAGAUUGCUUACUUUGAUUGUGCAGAUUUAUCACAUUUAAUGGAAAGGCUACAAACUAGGUUUUGGCCAUACCUUGAAAUGAGAACUUGUGGUCACUGAUAAAGCAGAAAGAACUCUCUUCGUGUCUACACCUUAUGUAACUAACCAGUAAGAUGUGCAAAUGGACAGGAGACUCUUCAUGCGUCUCCUGCAGUCAAACAGGAUUGCAAGGAGCUCCAGACCUGCUGCCCAGGCGACUGCAUCCUGUCCAACAGACUCCAGUCUUCCUCUUUAGUUUUUGACUACCUCAGAACAGGAAAAAAAGGACAUUUCAUUGAGUGAUGCCUUUUACAUAUAAUAUACACCACCUCCCGCCCCUGCCCCCACCCCAAGCUGUAUCUAGAUGACCUAUUUCACGAGCUGAUCUCUGCUUUUUGCACGCUUGGUUGUCUGGUUCAAGAAAAUUCUGUCUCACAUUCCUAUUGUGCUAAAAUACUAUAGCCCCAGAACUGGGUAUAAUUUAAACUGUAGAAGUCAGUUGUGAAGGACCCAAAGCAUGUCUUUUGACAAAAAUCUACUUGGUCCUAUCUGUGGGUUUCACAUCAAGAUUCAACCAAUUUCAGAAAGAAGAUAUUCUGGAAAAAAAAAUUGUCUGUACUAAAUUCAUAGAUUUUUCUUGUUAUUCCGUAAAUAAGGUAUUAACAAUUUCCAUAGCACUUACACGCACCAGGUAUUAGGCCACAGCAUGGAGGAGUACUCACUGUAUACAAUGCUAUUUUUAGGUUAAGGCCUAAACUUCUGAAGAUCUUGGUAACAGCAGAGCUCCUGUAAUCAACUCCUGGAAUGUGCCAUAGAGGAAUGACUAUAUGUAACAGCUGAACACUUACACCGGUUCCUUCCUCUUAAUGCUUGUCACAUUGCAGACCAAGGUGGAGAGGUUCUCCUUUUGUUGUUAGCUACGUGUGGUAGCAGUGAUGACUUUGUGCGCAUGUGCAGCUGUUAAGUGCUAUAGCAUGUGCUACAGGGUGUGGCCAUAGAACAUAGUAACAGCAACCACGAAUGUUCAACACAAGCUGUCCAAUCUUCUCUUUACGUAAUACCAAGCCUUUGCUAGAAAGCAUGGCUACAACCUAAGCUAGGAUCAGCCAGUAUCUUGAGUAGUUUAGGUGGGAGAAGACUUUGCUCACUAUUGCAGAUGCUCUGUUUACAUUUUCUUGUCAAUGGACUUCUCACUGGAAACUUGCACCCAGAAAUGUUAAUGACAUUGAUUUGUGAUUUUGUUUUUCAUUUCAAUUUUGGUUAAAAAAUAAUCCAUAAAACAUUUCUGCUGUUUCAAUAAAGCCCAAAUUAAAACAUUUCACGAUCA
Molecule: RNA transcript, 5605 nt
Organism: Mus musculus (house mouse)
Lineage: Eukaryota; Metazoa; Chordata; Mammalia; Rodentia; Muridae
Gene: Osmr
Gene name: oncostatin M receptor
Exons: 18
Source: RefSeq, marked validated